Molecule: unclassified non-coding RNA, 199 nt
Filed under: uncultured Tomentella
Lineage: Eukaryota; Fungi; Basidiomycota; Agaricomycetes; Thelephorales; Thelephoraceae
Description: sequence contains ITS1
Source: RNAcentral
CUGAACCGUUGACACGAGCUGUUGCUGGCCCUCGAAAGGGGGCACGUGCACGCUCUGUUUACACAUCCACUCACACCUGUGCACCCUCUGUAGUUCUAUGGCCUUGGGGACCCUGUCCCCUUGCUGUGGUCCUACGCCUUUACACACACACCGUAACAAAGUCUCAUGGAAUGUAUGUCGCGUUUAACGCAAUACAAUA